Molecule: long non-coding RNA, 1442 nt
Filed under: Sus scrofa (pig)
Lineage: Eukaryota; Metazoa; Chordata; Mammalia; Artiodactyla; Suidae
Description: lncRNA (ENSSSCG00000059700.1)
Source: RNAcentral
UUUUCCUCCUCACGCCCUGGACCCUGGCAGAGAAACUUUCUGUCCUUAGCGGCGCUCCGUCCCUGGUCUUGAGAGCAUACCCUCCUGUGAAUGCUUCUCUAGGCCUGUUGUAACAUUUGUAGGCAUCCAGCCCUGCUUUGGAGAAGAUUCAGUAGAGAGCUGGUGUAAUUGAUGUGCUCUGAUGACAGAAUAUCAAAGAAAGGACCAGAAGUAGUUUCUGCUUCUCCAUCCGGGGUGCAUCGAGAAGUUCGAGAGAAGCAAGUCGGCGGCCCACGGACCUCCUUGGGGGCUGCCCGGUUGUAAUCCGAAGCUGGCCCUGUGCUCAGAGGGCAGAGGAAAGGGGCAGAUGACUCCAGACCUACAAACCCGGAGCGGCAGGUUCCGAAGGGGAUUUGCCACAAGCCUUGUCUUAGGUGAAUCCAGCGCAGACGGACCCUGCCCCUGCCGGCAGAGGCUUCUGUGUUUAUGGAGAGGCCUUAGCUGGAUCCACUCGUGCACACAGUCUAUAGUCUCAUUGCCAUAUUAAUAUCUCAAGGCUUUAUCCUCGAGGCAGCUUCUGGAUGUAGAGGAAGCAAAUGGGGUGCAUGAUCUACGGACAGGGGAGGGGCGGGGGCGGGCAGCCUCCAAGUGCCAGGGUUCAGCUUGCAGGUCAAACCCUUGGGCACAUCUUCUCAGUGGCCCCCCCAGCACAAGUAUGGAUCCAUCUCCCAUCUCUGCAAGACCUCAAGUGGCUGCACAGAAGUGGUGAGAUUCUUUCUUUUUUUUUUUUUUUCACUUUUUAGGGCCACACUCGUGGCAUAUGGAAUUUCCUAAGCUAGGGGUCAAAUCAGAGCUACAGCUGCCAGCCACAGCCACAGCCACACCAGAUCCGAGCUACGUCUAUGACCGACACCACAGCUCACAGCAACACUGGAUCCUUAACCCACUGAGUGAGGCCAGGGGUCGAACCUGCAUCCUAAUGGAUCCUAUUCUGUAACUGUAACCACUGAGCCGUGAAGGGAACUCCCAAAAGUCAACAUCUUGCAUAGCUUGUUAUAUAACACAUUUUUAAAGGAAAUGUAAUGAGUGCUUAUUGCCAGAGUAAAUGAUAAUUUUUACUCUUUCUUUUCUAUUUCAAUGUAACAUACCGCCCAUGACACGUUAAAAUAAUCAUCAUUCCUUCCCCCCAAAUUUAAACCUAUUAAAUUAUUUUUUGAGAAAUUCUUAUCUAAAAUAUCUGCCAUUUUGCAGAACUCCUGCAGAUAUGAGUGAUUCGCUGUUUUAAUAAUUAGUGUGGGAAAAAAGAGGACACAUGGAGAAUUUUGAAAUAGUCCUGUUAUUGUUUACGGCAAUCUACAUGCAUGAAGAAAUAGCUAGUUUUAACCCAACAAAAUUACAAGUUCUAAAACUGACAGAACACUGUAAACCAACUAUAAUGGAAAAAAUAAAAAUCAUUUAAAAUU